UGAGGCAGGAGAAUCACUUGAACCCAGGAGGCAGAGGUUGCAGUGAGCCAAGAUCGUGCCACUGCACUCCAGCCUGGCAACAGAUUGAGACUCAGUCUCUAAAAAAAAAGCUGUGUUCUACAUGAUGAAUAUUUCCUAUUUAUUUAUUUAUUUUGGGACAGAGUCUCACUCUUGUCUCCCAGGCUGGAAUGCAGUGGCGAGAUCUCGGCUCACUACAACAUCCACCUCCUGGGUUCAAGCGAUUCUCCUGCCUCAGCCUCCCAAGUAGCUCGGAUUACAGGCACCCGCCACCACACCCGGC
Gorilla gorilla gorilla (western lowland gorilla) is the source of this 301-nucleotide unclassified non-coding RNA. It matches the Rfam family "Metazoan signal recognition particle RNA". From Rfam's summary of the family: The signal recognition particle (SRP) is a universally conserved ribonucleoprotein. It is involved in the co-translational targeting of proteins to membranes. Lineage: Eukaryota; Metazoa; Chordata; Mammalia; Primates; Hominidae. The record is from Ensembl.